UACAGAGGUCCCGAGCGUUGUUCGGAUUCACUGGGCGUAAAGGGUGCGUAGGUGGCUUGGAAAGUUUGAUGUGAAAGCUCAGGGCUUAACCCUGAAAUGGCAUUGAAUACUGCCGGGCUGGAGGUUUGGAGGGGGGACUGGAAUUCUUGGUGUAGCAGUGAAAUGCGUAGAUAUCAAGAGGAACACCAGUGGCGAAGGCGAGUCCCUGGACAACACCUGACACUGAGGCACGAAAGCUAGGGGAGCAAACAGG
This 253-nucleotide ribosomal RNA is filed under the name uncultured bacterium. RNAcentral's name for it is "partial 16S ribosomal RNA". It matches the Rfam family "Bacterial small subunit ribosomal RNA", at positions 524 to 776 of the family's 1533-position model. The record is from RNAcentral.